Molecule: long non-coding RNA, 1446 nt
Organism: Cucumis melo (muskmelon)
Lineage: Eukaryota; Viridiplantae; Streptophyta; Magnoliopsida; Cucurbitales; Cucurbitaceae
Exons: 4
Source: RefSeq, a predicted model, not a curated record
UUGAGUUUGGGAGUCUCGCGUGAGAUGAGAUGAGGGAAGAAAGUGAGUGGAGAAUUAAUUUUACAAAAGUAAGCAAAAAAAAAAAAAAAAGAAAUUUAUAGAUAGCUUUAAUGUCGGUUUAAAACCGACAUCAAUUCUUCCUCUCUGAUGUCGGUUUAAAACCGACAUUAAACAUCCGCGAAAAACUAGUUCCCUCUUAAAAUAUCCAGACCUGUUCAGACUCUCCAUCCACGAAACCGUUCCUACGCCCAAACCCUAGAUUCUUUCUCUUUUCGCUGCUUCUCACCGUCCAACGCCGCCGCUCCUUGCGGUUGUUGCCGCUGCUCUUUGCCUUCCUACACCGCCAAGUGAUUAAAGGUAUUUGAAGUUUGAAGUGUUUGUUUUGGAUGGGCUGAAGUAUGCUUCUUCACAUGAGUGGGUGAAGCAUGAAGGCUCUGUUGCUACCGUUGGCAUCACUGUCCAUGCUUAGAAUCUGCUCGGUUUAUUUCUGCAAUAUGGAGCUUUUAUCACAUCUGGCUUUUGCUCUUCCAUCUAGUUCUUUCUUAUGGGUGCUCAUUCAUGGGAUGCUCAAAAUGAGAACCAAAACGUAAUACGCUUCAAACUUCAUACCCUUGUGGAUCAAAUCAUUUUACUUUGGUUUGUAACUAAUUCCCUUUAGAUCAUUAGCAUUUUUUCAGUCUAAUUUCUUUGAAAGUUUAGAUUAGGAAUGGUAAGAUUAAUUAGAUUUUAUGGAAGGGAUUAGAUGGAAAGUAAUAGGAAGAUUUUUUUUUUUUUAAAAUAAUAGAACACUCGACGCUCUAAUAUUUGGCUUCGGGAGAUCCUGACAACACAUGAUGCCGUUUACUGCAUAGUUCUUAGGAUAUCCCGACGCUGCAUUUUUUGGUGUCAGUAAUGCCUCUUCUGACACACUUCGUCUGACCUCGGUCCCGACGCGCAUUUGUGCGUCGGGAGAUCCAAUUCCGACGCAUUUUCGUAUAUCUUUCGAUGAUUUUGUACAUCGGGAGGUUUGUAAUUUCUUGUAGUGCAAGUCGUGCCACCAUUGUUGCGUUGUCUCAGAUCGUCUUGCCGUCCUAGAUCUUCGACAUCUUAGAUCUUAAAUGUGUUGUCCAGAUCGUUUCUUUGGUGCCUAGUCGUUGCGUUUCAUUUAGUGCCUAGAUUUGUUGUGCUCGUGGCCAGAUCCGUUGCAUUCAUGCCUGAUCUGUUUGUGUGUGUUCGUGCCCAGUUUUGUUGUAGAUACGUUGUACUCAGAUUGUUGUGUUCGGGUAAGAUUUGUUCAUUAAAAAAUCGCUCCAAAAAUGUAAACAAAAACUACAAAACCCCAAAACAAAAACAGUAAAAUAUGUCUCCAAAAACACACAAAAAGAUUUCUUCACCUUUACAUCCAUCACAAUGAUGUUAACUCUAAGAUUGUUGUGUUUGAGUCUAAGAGUGUGAACUUUGAGCUAA